CCUACGGGGUGCAGCAGUGGGGAAUAUUGGACAAUGGGCGAAAGCCUGAUCCAGCCAUGCCGCGUGUGUGAAGAAGGCCUUCGGGUUGUAAAGCACUUUCAGUGGGGAAGAAAGCCUUGGGGCUAAUACCCUCGAGGAAGGACAUCACCCACAGAAGAAGCACCGGCUAACUCCGUGCCAGCAGCCGCGGUAAUACGGAGGGUGCGAGCGUUAAUCGGAAUUACUGGGCGUAAAGCGCGCGUAGGCGGUCUGAUAAGCCGGUUGUGAAAGCCCCGGGCUCAACCUGGGAACGGCAUCCGGACCUGUCAGGCUAGAGUGCAGGAGAGGAAGGUAGAAUUCCCGGUGUAGCGGUGAAAUGCGUAGAGAUCGGGAGGAAUACCAGUGGCGAAGGCGGCCUUCUGGACUGACACUGACGCUGAGGUGCGAAAGCGUGGGUAGCAAACAGGAUUAGAUACCCGAGUAGUC
This 465-nucleotide ribosomal RNA is filed under the name Vreelandella stevensii. RNAcentral's name for it is "partial 16S ribosomal RNA". It matches the Rfam family "Bacterial small subunit ribosomal RNA", at positions 338 to 795 of the family's 1533-position model. Lineage: Bacteria; Pseudomonadati; Pseudomonadota; Gammaproteobacteria; Oceanospirillales; Halomonadaceae. The record is from RNAcentral.